UACAGAGGUGGCAAGCGUUGUUCGGAAUUACUGGGCGUAAAGGGCGCGUAGGCGGCCUUCUAAGUCAGACGUGAAAUCCCCCGGCUUAACCUGGGAACUGCGUCUGAUACUGGGAGGCUUGAGUAUGGGAGAGGGAUGUAGAAUUCCAGGUGUAGCGGUGAAAUGCGUAGAUAUCUGGAGGAAUACCGGUGGCGAAGGCGGCAUCCUGGACCAUUACUGACGCUGAGGCGCGAAGGUCAGGGGAGCAAACGGG
This 253-nucleotide ribosomal RNA is filed under the name uncultured bacterium. Its description in RNAcentral is "partial 16S ribosomal RNA". It matches the Rfam family "Bacterial small subunit ribosomal RNA", at positions 524 to 776 of the family's 1533-position model. The record is from RNAcentral.